AACCGUACAGAAGUAACUUGGUGGAAGAGCAAUGUCGCCUGUAGAAUUCAGCUAAAUGUUGGGCUACUUGCUGGUUGCCGACCGUUUCACGACGGUGUGCUUCUAGUAGUGAUGGCUUGAUGUCUGGUGCACUUUCUGCAGGUGAGCGCAAGGAUCGCUUGGUGCGUCGUCUAAAGUCUUAACGGAGCCGCCUCGGGGUCAAACCUGGGAGCGUACGUUGAGUAACCUGUCGAUUGCGUCGAGUGAGAUCACACUCUGGCCGCAUGUCUCUCAGUGGCUGCCGUGGUGAGGGAUUGAACUGUAUUAGUGACAUCGGUAAAACGGUGUCCUGUGCGAAUCUCCUUUGCUAUUGGUAGUUGCGCGCGAGAGAUGUCAGAUAUGAUCAUUUGCGUCCGAGUCUCGCUCCCACCUAUAUCGUCUUGAAACACGAGCCGAGAAGUCUAACAGAUGCGCAAGUCAAUGGGCUAUCAAAUAACCCCAAAGGCGCAAUAAAAGUAAAGUCGUGGCCUUGUGCUCGGCGAGCUGAGAUCCGCAGUUCUCUGUGGCGCAUCAGCGUCCCGUCUUAUGAACCCUUCGGGGCUUCUGAGGCGGAGAUUGAGCGUAUCUGUUAGGACCCGAAAGAUGGUGAACUAUACCUGUGUAGACUGAAGCCAGAAGAAAUUCUGGUGGAAGGUCGUAGCGGUUUUGACGUGCAAAUCAAUCGUCAAAC
This 709-nucleotide ribosomal RNA is filed under the name Tripyloides sp. NUS14. Its description in RNAcentral is "eukaryotic LSU rRNA". It matches the Rfam family "Eukaryotic large subunit ribosomal RNA", at positions 403 to 910 of the family's 3401-position model. The record is from RNAcentral. Lineage: Eukaryota; Metazoa; Nematoda; Enoplea; Enoplida; Tripyloididae.